Molecule: ribosomal RNA, 503 nt
Filed under: uncultured bacterium
Lineage: Bacteria
Description: partial 16S ribosomal RNA
Rfam family: Bacterial small subunit ribosomal RNA
Source: RNAcentral
GAUGAACGCUGGCGGCGUGCCUAAUACAUGCAAGUCGAACGAAGAUCUAGCUUGCUAGAUCUUAGUGGCGAACGGGUGAGUAAUACAUAAAUAAUCUGCCCAUAUGACUGGGAUAACUAUUGGAAACGAUAGCUAAUACCGGAUAGGUUGAUCGGAGGCAUCUCUGGUGAAUUAAAGUAGAAUUUCUACACAAAUGGAUGAGUUUAUGGCGCAUUAGUUAGUUGGUGGGGUAACGGCCUACCAAGACGAUGAUGCGUAGCCGACCUGAGAGGGUGACCGGCAACGCUGGGACUGAGACACGGCCCAGACUCCUACGGGAGGCAGCAGUAGGGAAUUUUCGGCAAUGGGCGCAAGCCUGACCGAGCAACGCCGCGUGAGUGAUUAAGGCCUUCGGGUUGUAAAGCUCUGUUGUAAGGGAAGAACAUUCAGGAUAGGAAAUGAUCUUGAGCUGACGGUACCUUACCAGAAAGCCACGGCUAACUACGUGCCAGCCGCCGCGGUAA